AUACUGCCUUUGAGACCCCACUGCGCUUCUGCGUGGCGAGGGAGUCAGGCUGCAGCGCCAGAGCACUUGCUUGGAUGUAACUGCGGCCCACUGCUCCCUGCUGGCGGCCCUUUUAACCUCAAUCAACACUG
Molecule: non-coding RNA, 131 nt
Organism: Myotis davidii
Lineage: Eukaryota; Metazoa; Chordata; Mammalia; Chiroptera; Vespertilionidae
Source: Rfam